AGUGAACGCUGGCGGUAGGCCUAACACAUGCAGGUCGAACGGCAGCACCGUAAUAGCUUGCUCUUACGGGUGGCGAGUGGCGGACGGGUGAGGAAUACAUCGGAAUCUACUUUUUCGUGGGGGUUCACGUAGGGAGACUUACGCUAAUACCGCAUACGCCCUACCGGUGAAAGCAUUGGAUCUUCUGACCUUUCGCGAUUGGAUGAGCCGAUUUGGGAUUAGCUAGUUGGCGGGGUAAAGGCCCACCAAGUGGGCGGUCGGUAGCUCGUGAGAGUGGAUGGUCGGCCGCACUGGAACGGGGACACGGUCCAGAGGCCUACGGGAGGGAGCAGUGGGGAAUAUGGGACAAUGGGGGCAAGCCUGAUACAGCGAUACCGAGUGGGUGAAGAAGGCCUUCGGGUUGGAAAGCCCGUUUGUGGGGAAAGAAAAGCAGCAGGUUGAUACGAAGCUGUUCUGACGGUACCCAAAGAAUAAGCACCGGCUAACUUCGUG
Molecule: ribosomal RNA, 492 nt
Filed under: uncultured bacterium
Lineage: Bacteria
Description: partial 16S ribosomal RNA
Rfam family: Bacterial small subunit ribosomal RNA
Source: RNAcentral